CUUGUAAUGCGGCCUAUAAGACGGUCUCAAGCCCGAAUAAAACGCAAAGAGAAAG
Molecule: non-coding RNA, 55 nt
Filed under: Nasonia vitripennis (jewel wasp)
Lineage: Eukaryota; Metazoa; Arthropoda; Insecta; Hymenoptera; Pteromalidae
Source: RNAcentral